ACGUCCUCAUCUUUAAGGUGAGGAUCAAUUGACUGUCAUACUUCCAAGAAAAGCUCGAACUACUGUAAAGCAUUAAGUACCUGUACCGUAAACCGACACAGGUGGGUUGGUAGAGUAUACCAAGGGGCGCGAGAUAACUCUCUCUAAGGAACUCGGCAAAAUGACCCCGUAACUUCGGGAGAAGGGGUGCCAAGUAACUAAAAUUGCUUGGUCGCAGUGACCAGGCCCUGGCGACUGUUUAUCAAAAACACAGGUCUCCGCAAAGUCGUAAGACAACAUAUGGGGGCUGACGCCUGCCCAGUGCCGGAAGGUUAAAGAAGUUGGUUAUUCAUUCGUGGAGAAGCUGACGACUGAAGCCCCGGUGAACGGCGGCCGUAACUAUAACGGUCCUAAGGUAGCGAAAUUCCUUGUCGGGUAAGUUCCGACCCGCACGAAAGGCGUAACGAUCAGGGCACUGUCUCGGAGAGAGACUCGGUGAAAUAGACAUGUCUGUGAAGAUGCGGACUACCUGCACCUGGACAGAAAGACCCUAUGAAGCUUGACUGUAGCUUGGAAUUGGGUUCGGGCUCUUCUUGCGCAGCCUAGGUGGGAGGCGUUGAAAGUUUUCUUUCGGGAAAACUGGAGCCAACAGUGAGAGACCACUCUGGAGGAGCUAGAAUUCUAAUGGCGUUCCUUGAAGCAGGACGCUCGACAGUUUCAGGUGGGCAGUUUGACUGGGGCGGUCACCUCCUAAAAGGUAACGGAGGUGUGCAAAGGUUCCCUCAGGCCGGACGGAAAUCAGCCGUAGAGUGUAAAGGCAGAAGGGAGCUUGACUGCAAGACCUACAAGUCGAGCGGGGGCGAAAGCCGGCCUUAGUGACCCGACGGUUCCAUGUGGAAGGGCCGUCGCUCAACGGAUAAAAGUUACUCUAAGGAUAACAGGCUGAUCUUCCCCAAGAGUUCACAUCGACGGGAAGGUUUGGCACCUCGAUGUCGGCUCAUCGCAACCUGGGGCGGUAGUACGUCCCAAGGGUUGGGCUGUUCGCCCAUGAAAGCGGUACGUGAGCUGGGUUCAGAACGUCGUAAGACAGUUCGGUCCAUAUCCGGUGUAAGCGCUAGAGCAUUGAGAGGAGCCUUCCAUAGUACGAGAGGACCUGGAAGGACACACCUCUGGUAUACCAGUUAUCAUGCCAAUGGUAGACGCUGGGUAGCCAUGUGUGGAGUGGAUAACCGCUGAAAGCAUCUAAGUGGGAAGCCCACCUCAAGAUGAGUGCUCUCCAUCAGGUCACAGGAAGACAACCUGUUUGAUAGGCAGAAGGUGUAAGGCUAGUAAUAGUUUUAGCUGAUUUGUACUAAUAGACCGAUUGAUUUU
RNAcentral lists this ribosomal RNA (1350 nucleotides) under metagenome. RNAcentral's name for it is "bacterial LSU rRNA". It matches the Rfam family "Bacterial large subunit ribosomal RNA", at positions 1567 to 2925 of the family's 2925-position model. The record is from RNAcentral.